Mus caroli (Ryukyu mouse) is the source of this 207-nucleotide non-coding RNA. The record is from RefSeq and is a predicted model, not a curated record. NCBI's taxonomy places the organism in Eukaryota, Metazoa, Chordata, Mammalia, Rodentia, Muridae.
ACAAGCGAUGAACUGCCCAGCCUACCUCACAACAACAGCCUGAGGUCAAAGGACAUUUCACAGUCCAGGGAUGGGAAAGACAGUGAGCAUCCAACCCCCAGUACACACAUUAUAAUGUUCCAGUCACUAACCUCAUGCAGCCCUGGAGAACCUGUUGACUGACUGAGCUGGCUUGGCCAGCUGGCACAGAAUGGAGACUAUAAAUAA